Long non-coding RNA from Dreissena polymorpha, 1291 nucleotides. RefSeq lists it as uncharacterized. Lineage: Eukaryota; Metazoa; Mollusca; Bivalvia; Myida; Dreissenidae. The record is from RefSeq and is a predicted model, not a curated record. The transcript has 7 exons.
CUCUUAAAUCACCAGGUGAUAUAUCAUAUUAUAUUUUAUUAUUAUUGUGUAAUUUUAUAGAUAUCAUGUAUCAUAAUACUAUAUUAUCAUUUAUUCCUCUAAAUAUAGCAUCAAGCAAAUGUGGGAAAACACACGCUGUCAAAAGGAGAGACUGGUAUAGCUGGCACAUGAAAUGUCAUCGUUCCAACCAGACCAUGCUCAGCUGGCCGAUGUGGAUGGAUCGAGGUCGUCCUGACCUGAAUACCUCAUAUCCCGUGUGGCUCUAUGGCUUUGAAGUACAAAUACACGUCGGAGAAAAUACAAGGCGAACUUUUAACGUCUCCCAACUUGAGCUCCACAAUAAAGCAAGAACGAGAUGCAUAAAAGGAAAAACUUUUUUUGAAAACGGAUACUCUACAAUUGAAGCAGCUAAAAAUGAGUGCAUUGCAAAUAAAGCAAUAUUGCCUACCGUGAGUCCAAUUAACAUAGAACAGUUUGGCGUUGCUCAAGACAUCAUUGACGUUCCAUUUUGGAUACAACCACUGAGUGUUAGAAAAUUCACCGAAGCCCACUGCUAUUUGCUCGACCAAGAUUUGAAAGUAAGGAAAAGCAACUGUUCUGAAAAAUAUCCUUCAGUCUGCGUAAAUGAAUCAGUUCAUGACGUUAUGACGUACGUUGGACAAGAGUCACGCACUGAAUUGUAUAAAGCGUCGUUGACCUUUACGCUUUCCUCUACGUCAGAAUAAAGCACACUACGCAAUCAGGAAACGAAUGGUGACGUCAGUGUUGCACCUAGAGUUUCAAACGACACAAUACUUUCUACAGAAAACAACACAAUACUUUCUUCGGGGAGUGACGGACACCCGAAGACGGAAAUAAUUAUCAUCUUUACGCUCAUUUCUGUGGGUGUGGUUACAGGCGUAGCUUCCGUCUUAACCAUUACCAUUUACUGCAGGCUUAAAAGUAUGUCGAAACCCAACAGAAAAGCGGAGAUGUCGGGCAAUUACUGGAACACACCAGAGAUUGUCGAAGACAGAAAAUCUGAUAUGUAUGAACAUUGUGGACAUUCCUCGGGUAUCUACUAUAACACGGAGGAGCAAUUUGUCGUUAUAUCUCCACAGGCAUAUUAGGACAGGAACAACUUAUUACGGUUCUUUCUUUUCUCCGGAUUGGGUUCUGUGCUUGACUUUUUUCGAUUUUAAUAGCUUAUAUCUAAAUACACAACGGUUUGAAUUUGUGACACGUAGGGUUUAACGAACGAAAACUAGUUGAUCAUUUGCCAAUAAAUAUUAAUAAUGCUAAGUUCGAUGCU